Panthera uncia (snow leopard) is the source of this 680-nucleotide long non-coding RNA. RefSeq lists it as uncharacterized. NCBI's taxonomy places the organism in Eukaryota, Metazoa, Chordata, Mammalia, Carnivora, Felidae. The record is from RefSeq and is a predicted model, not a curated record. The transcript is spliced from 4 exons.
GCCCCUCCCCCCCCCCCAAUUCUUGGGUGUCGGACAAGGAACAUAUUCAAGAAACCUCAUCAAUUUAGAGAAUCACUCCCAAAAGAAUUCAACUACAAUUGACAUCUUGACGUCGUGGUCCACAGCAUGAAUCCUAACGUACAGAACCUAGCUCUAAGUUCACCCGGAGGAGCAAAAUGACAGCUGAUAACUCAACAGGGAGACACAGAGGAUGCACUCAGCACGACUGAGACAGAGAGUGCAGCCGCUGAAGGCUGGCUAUACAGGGAGACAGAGCAGCACCGCGGGAAGCCUCAGCUGCUGUGGAGUCAAUGCCAGGCCCUGUGGAGGAUUCUUCUAAGGCAAGGCUGGGCCUCAGGCAGAACCAUGGACCAUCUCCAGGCCUUGAACAGAACCCGGAGGUCACAAGGGGGUGGCAAUCAACCAAGGAGACAGUAAAGGCUGUCGGUUCCUGCUACUCAGCCCACUGCUCAGGCCAGGUCUGCUGCCGCGGAGUCGAGACUGUCGGUCCCAUGACCGUCAGAAGCUCCUUAUUUCCGUCAGAAGUUCCUCUGCCAAGCCACCGAGGAUGGAUGCGGAAGAGGGGGUUUUGUUUUGUUACUGGUUUUUACUAGCUUGCCCCUUGGGGCUAGCCUGCCAGGCUGGAGGUAUCGUUAACAAUGAAACCAUGGCCGAAUCAA